RNAcentral lists this ribosomal RNA (403 nucleotides) under Eophreatoicus wurrkbaba. Its description in RNAcentral is "partial 16S ribosomal RNA". It matches the Rfam family "Bacterial large subunit ribosomal RNA", at positions 1926 to 2556 of the family's 2925-position model. Lineage: Eukaryota; Metazoa; Arthropoda; Malacostraca; Isopoda; Amphisopidae. The record is from RNAcentral.
AAAAGCCGCAGUAUACUAACUGUGCAAAGGUAGCAAAAUAAUUUGUCUUUUAAUUAAAGACUAGAAUGAAUGGUCUGACGAGGAAAAAUCUAUUUCAUAAUUUUAAAUAAAAUUAACAUAUAAGUAAAAAGGCUUAUAUACAUCAGCAAGACGACAAGACCCUAUAAAACUUUACCUUCUAAAUAAUAAACCUUAGUAAAUGUAUAUAAUUUAAGGGUUUAACUGGGCGGUAUUUAUAUAACAUUUAACUAUACAAAAUUAACCAUAAAUUAAUGAAUAAAUAAAUCUUAAAUAAAACAUAACAAAAAGUUACUUUAGGGAUAACAGCAUAAUACUCUUAAAGAGUUCAAAUCGACAAGAGUGAUUAUGACCUCGAUGUUGAAUUGGGAAACCAUCUAAAAGC